This 74-nucleotide transfer RNA is filed under the name Bdellovibrionales bacterium. Its description in RNAcentral is "tRNA-Cys". It matches the Rfam family "tRNA". From Rfam's summary of the family: Transfer RNA (tRNA) molecules are approximately 80 nucleotides in length. Their secondary structure includes four short double-helical elements and three loops (D, anti-codon, and T loops). The record is from RNAcentral. Lineage: Bacteria; Pseudomonadati; Bdellovibrionota; Bdellovibrionia; Bdellovibrionales.
GGUGGCGUGGCCGAGGGGCUAGGCAGAGGUCUGCAAAACCUUCCACGUCGGUUCGAGUCCGGCCGCCACCUCCA